UACAGAGGGUGCAAGCGUUAAUCGGAUUUACUGGGCGUAAAGGGCGCGUAGGUUGUUGCGUAAGUGAGAUGUGAAAUCCCCGGGCUUAACCUGGGACGUGCAUCUUAGACUGCGUAACUGGAGUGUAGUAGAGGGUAGUGGAAUUUCCGGUGUAGCGGUGAAAUGCGUAGAUAUCGGAAGGAACACCAGUGGCGAAGGCGGCUACCUGGACUAACACUGACACUGAGGCGCGAGAGCGUGGGGAGCAAACAGG
This 253-nucleotide ribosomal RNA is filed under the name uncultured prokaryote. Its description in RNAcentral is "partial 16S ribosomal RNA". It matches the Rfam family "Bacterial small subunit ribosomal RNA", at positions 524 to 776 of the family's 1533-position model. The record is from RNAcentral.